GUCUUGUAAUUGGAAUGAUGGUGACCCAAACCCUCACCAGAGUAGCAAUUGGAGGGCAAGUCUGGUGCCAGCAGCCGCGGUAAUUCCAGCUCCAAUAGCGUAUAUUAAACUUGUUGCAGUUAAAAAGCUYGUAGUUGUAUUUUUGCGUURRCGGUUUGACCAUUUGGUUGGUUAUUUCGUUUUCGCUUUUGGGAAUUUCCCUUUUUACUUUGAGAAAAUUAGAGUGUUUCAAGCAGACUUUUGUCUUGAAUACUUCAGCAUGGAAUAAUAGAGUAGGACUUUGGUUCUAUUUUGUUGGUUAUUGAACCUUAGUAAUGGUUAAUAGGAACGGUUGGGGGCAUUCGUAUUUAACUGUCAGAGGUGAAAUUCUUAGAUUUGUUAAAGACGAACUACUGCGAAAGCAUUUGCCAAGGACGUUUCCAUUAAUCAAGAACGAAAGUUAGGGGAUCGAAGACGAUCAGAUACCGUCGUAGUCCUAACCAUAAACUAUGCCGACUAGUGAUUGGAGGUCGUCGUUUUUUGGCCCCUUCAGGAACUUGAGAGAAAUCAAAGUCUUUGG
This 559-nucleotide ribosomal RNA is filed under the name Babesia canis. RNAcentral describes it as "SSU rRNA". It matches the Rfam family "Eukaryotic small subunit ribosomal RNA", at positions 502 to 1121 of the family's 1831-position model. Lineage: Eukaryota; Apicomplexa; Aconoidasida; Piroplasmida; Babesiidae. The record is from RNAcentral.